UACGAAGGUCCCAAGCGUUAUCCGGAUUUAUUGGGUUUAAAGGGUGCGUAGGCGGGCUAUUAAGUCAGUGGUGAAAGCCUCAAGCUUAACUUGAGAAUUGCCAUUGAUACUGAUGACCUUGAGUACAUUUGAAGUGGGCGGAAUGUGUCAUGUAGCGGUGAAAUGCUUAGGUAUGACACAGAACACCGAUUGCGUAGGCAGCUCACUAAACUGUAACUGACGCUGAGGCACGAAAGCGUGGGGAGCAAACAGG
RNAcentral lists this ribosomal RNA (253 nucleotides) under uncultured bacterium. RNAcentral describes it as "partial 16S ribosomal RNA". It matches the Rfam family "Bacterial small subunit ribosomal RNA", at positions 524 to 776 of the family's 1533-position model. The record is from RNAcentral.